UGGGGAAUAUUGCACAAUGGGCGCAAGCCUGAUGCAGCCAUGCCGCGUGUAUGAAGAAGGCCUUCGGGUUGUAAAGUACUUUCAGCGGGGAGGAAGGCGAUAAGGUUAAUAACCUCAUCGAUUGACGUUACCCGCAGAAGAAGCACCGGCUAACUCCGUGCCAGCAGCCGCGGUAAUACGGAGGGUGCAAGCGUUAAUCGGAAUUACUGGGCGUAAAGCGCACGCAGGCGGUCUGUCAAGUCGGAUGUGAAAUCCCCGGGCUCAACCUGGGAACUGCAUUCGAAACUGGCAGGCUAGAGUCUUGUAGAGGGGGGUAGAAUUCCAGGUGUAGCGGUGAAAUGCGUAGAGAUCUGGAGGAAUACCGGUGGCGAAGGCGGACCCCUGGACAAAGACUGACGCUCAGGUGCGAAAGCGUGGGGAGCAAACAGG
This 429-nucleotide ribosomal RNA is filed under the name Chloroflexota bacterium. RNAcentral's name for it is "Chloroflexi bacterium partial 16S ribosomal RNA". It matches the Rfam family "Bacterial small subunit ribosomal RNA", at positions 355 to 776 of the family's 1533-position model. The record is from RNAcentral. Lineage: Bacteria; Bacillati; Chloroflexota.